AUGUUGAUUAGUAGGGUAGAUCUCCGUAGCACAGUCGAGAUGUGUUCAGUCCAACCCCAUGGCAUUAGGGAGGUCGAGUUCGUCGCGAGCAGCAGUACAUGUUUGUUGGCUUACUCCAGCAGCCAGCCCAGCCUUCCCUCCCGAUCAUCAGUCCAACUUCUUGCUCCGACGCCGGUCACUCAAAGAGCCGCGUGCAGGCCACCCGUGUUUCACCUCCUGAUCCAGCUCAACUUUCUCCAUUCUUCAGCAUUUUUGAUUGUCGCAUGGUACUUGUAUUGGCUGCUAGACUUCAUGUAUUACUGCCAGGUACUAGGUGGUGGCAUUGCUUCACUUCUCUUGUUACGUUCUCUUCGCUCAAAUUUGGAGGAUCAAGAAAAUAAAAUAUCAUUGUUUUGA
Molecule: ribosomal RNA, 396 nt
Filed under: Triticum aestivum (bread wheat)
Lineage: Eukaryota; Viridiplantae; Streptophyta; Magnoliopsida; Poales; Poaceae
Description: partial small subunit ribosomal RNA
Source: RNAcentral